RNAcentral lists this unclassified non-coding RNA (330 nucleotides) under soil metagenome. RNAcentral's name for it is "partial contains 5.8S ribosomal RNA, internal transcribed spacer 2, and large subunit ribosomal RNA". The stretch from base 1 to 120 matches the Rfam family "5.8S ribosomal RNA", at positions 35 to 154 of the family's 154-position model. The record is from RNAcentral.
GAUGAAGAACGCAGCGAAAUGCGAUAAGUAAUGUGAAUUGCAGAAUUCAGUGAAUCAUCGAAUCUUUGAACGCACAUUGCGCCCCCUGGUAUUCCGGGGGGCAUGCCUGUUCGAGCGUCAUUUCACCACUCAAGCCUCGCUUGGUAUUGGGCAACGCGGUCCGCCGCGUGCCUCAAAUCGACCGGCUGGGUCUUCUGUCCCCUAAGCGUUGUGGAAACUAUUCGCUAAAGGGUGUUCGGGAGGCUACGCCGUAAAACAACCCCAUUUCUAAGGUUGACCUCGGAUCAGGUAGGGAUACCCGCUGAACUUAAGCAUAUCAAUAAGGGAGGA